Acromyrmex echinatior (Panamanian leafcutter ant) is the source of this 123-nucleotide long non-coding RNA. NCBI's taxonomy places the organism in Eukaryota, Metazoa, Arthropoda, Insecta, Hymenoptera, Formicidae. The record is from RefSeq and is a predicted model, not a curated record.
GAGGCGCGUUUUGCGAAUUCGACGCAGUUCGGGGUCACAUUCGUCCCUACCUCUGGUGAUGUAUAGUCUGAUAUCGGCUUUAUAAUCAGCGGGGCGCGCCAUGUUGGUCUCUCUUCUAUUAUA